GGAGGAGAUGCUGUUCCCGAUCCGGACUGAAUGAGGUCUCACAGUCAGGAAGUCCAGGAUCCAGUUGCAGAGGGAGGUGUCCAGGCCCAGCAGGUUCAGCUUUCCAAUCAGUCUGACAUGCCUGUAAUCAGGAGGUGGUGGUGCCAUCAGUUACUACAGGCAUUUCCUCUGGCAAGCCAACGGUCAGUCACCAACCAAAUGAUCCAACUGGAUCUAAACAUCAUGGAGGUCACCCCAUCUGUGCCAG
Molecule: long non-coding RNA, 247 nt
Organism: Xyrauchen texanus (razorback sucker)
Lineage: Eukaryota; Metazoa; Chordata; Actinopteri; Cypriniformes; Catostomidae
Exons: 3
Source: RefSeq, a predicted model, not a curated record